This 935-nucleotide ribosomal RNA is filed under the name Flavobacterium sp. CB 286473. RNAcentral's name for it is "bacterial SSU rRNA". It matches the Rfam family "Bacterial small subunit ribosomal RNA", at positions 85 to 1022 of the family's 1533-position model. Lineage: Bacteria; Pseudomonadati; Bacteroidota; Flavobacteriia; Flavobacteriales; Flavobacteriaceae. The record is from RNAcentral.
GAAUUAGAGACCGGCGCACGGGUGCGUAACGCGUAUGCAAUCUACCUUUUACAGAGGGAUAGCCCAGAGAAAUUUGGAUUAAUACCUCAUAGUAUUACGAAAUGGCAUCAUUUUGUAAUUAAAGUCACAACGGUAAAAGAUGAGCAUGCGUCCCAUUAGCUAGUUGGUAAGGUAACGGCUUACCAAGGCUACGAUGGGUAGGGGUCCUGAGAGGGAGAUCCCCCACACUGGUACUGAGACACGGACCAGACUCCUACGGGAGGCAGCAGUGAGGAAUAUUGGACAAUGGGCGCAAGCCUGAUCCAGCCAUGCCGCGUGCAGGAUGACGGUCCUAUGGAUUGUAAACUGCUUUUAUACGAGAAGAAACACUCCGACGUGUCGGAGCUUGACGGUAUCGUAAGAAUAAGGAUCGGCUAACUCCGUGCCAGCAGCCGCGGUAAUACGGAGGAUCCAAGCGUUAUCCGGAAUCAUUGGGUUUAAAGGGUCCGUAGGCGGUUUAAUAAGUCAGUGGUGAAAGCCCAUCGCUCAACGGUGGAACGGCCAUUGAUACUGUUAAACUUGAAUUAUUAGGAAGUAACUAGAAUAUGUAGUGUAGCGGUGAAAUGCUUAGAGAUUACAUGGAAUACCAAUUGCGAAGGCAGGUUACUACUAAUGGAUUGACGCUGAUGGACGAAAGCGUGGGUAGCGAACAGGAUUAGAUACCCUGGUAGUCCACGCCGUAAACGAUGGAUACUAGCUGUUGGAAGCAAUUUCAGUGGCUAAGCGAAAGUGAUAAGUAUCCCACCUGGGGAGUACGUUCGCAAGAAUGAAACUCAAAGGAAUUGACGGGGGCCCGCACAAGCGGUGGAGCAUGUGGUUUAAUUCGAUGAUACGCGAGGAACCUUACCAAGGCUUAAAUGUAGAUUGACCGUUUUGGAAACAGAACUUUCGCAAGA